RNAcentral lists this ribosomal RNA (253 nucleotides) under uncultured Clostridiaceae bacterium. Its description in RNAcentral is "partial 16S ribosomal RNA". It matches the Rfam family "Bacterial small subunit ribosomal RNA", at positions 524 to 776 of the family's 1533-position model. Lineage: Bacteria; Bacillati; Bacillota; Clostridia; Eubacteriales; Clostridiaceae. The record is from RNAcentral.
UACGUAGGUGGCAAGCGUUGUCCGGAUUUACUGGGCGUAAAGGGAGCGUAGGCGGACUUUUAAGUGAGAUGUGAAAUACCCGGGCUCAACUUGGGUGCUGCAUUUCAAACUGGAAGUCUAGAGUGCAGGAGAGGAGAGUGGAAUUCCUAGUGUAGCGGUGAAAUGCGUAGAGAUUAGGAAGAACACCAGUGGCGAAGGCGACUCUCUGGACUGUAACUGACACUGAGGCGCGAAAGCGUGGGGAGCAAACAGG